Molecule: long non-coding RNA, 429 nt
Filed under: Phoenix dactylifera (date palm)
Lineage: Eukaryota; Viridiplantae; Streptophyta; Magnoliopsida; Arecales; Arecaceae
Description: long non-coding RNA (PDAC_LNC014402)
Source: RNAcentral
UGUUUGACCUCCAAGAAUUCUCCAUUUUAUAUAGCACAGAGUCGAAAUAAAGUAUAUUUUAUUUAAUUUUAGAAGUAAUAAAAAUAAUGUGUUGUUAUGAUAUUUGUUAUCAAUUUUUCUUCAAUAAAAUACUUGUUGUCCAUUGCCAUCAACAUAUGUGCUUUGUAGAAUGUCAUUUCACUCCUUAGAUGAAUAUACUUGAAGUGUUAUAUAUAGAUAUGUCUAUAUAUAAAUAUUCGCAAUGCUCUUACUCUGUUGUUAUAAACUAUUGUUUACUUGUAGAUAUAAUAAUAAAUUUAAAGACUAGAUUGUUAAAUCAAAACAUGAUUCAUGAAAGCAUUGACUAUUGAGGACAAUGAAAGCUUCAAUACUGCAUCUCAUGUAGAAAACAAUAGUAGGUUGGGUUUAAUUUUUUGUUUUUGGUACAUC